UGCUCCGUAGCUCAGCAGGUAGAGCAUCCCCCUCAUAAGGGGCUGGCCGCGGGUUCGAGCCCCGCCGGAGCGACCA
RNAcentral lists this transfer RNA (76 nucleotides) under Brachybacterium kimchii. Its description in RNAcentral is "Brachybacterium sp. CBA3104 tRNA-Ile". It matches the Rfam family "tRNA". Rfam says of the family: Transfer RNA (tRNA) molecules are approximately 80 nucleotides in length. Their secondary structure includes four short double-helical elements and three loops (D, anti-codon, and T loops). The record is from RNAcentral. Lineage: Bacteria; Bacillati; Actinomycetota; Actinomycetes; Micrococcales; Dermabacteraceae.